GACGAACGCUGGCGGCGUGCUUAACACAUGCAAGUCGAGCGGAAAGGCCACUUCGGUGGUACUCGAGCGGCGAACGGGUGAGUAACACGUGAGUAAUCUGCCCUUGGCUUUGGGAUAGCCACCGGAAACGGUGAUUAAUACCGAAUAUGACACAUGGUCGCAUGGUUGUGUGUGGAAAGUUUUUCGGCCAGGGAUGUGCUCGCGGCCUAUCAGCUUGAUGGUGAGGUAAUGGCUCACCAUGGCUUCGACGGGUAGCCGGCCUGAGAGGGUGACCGGUCACACUGGGACUGAGACACGGCCCAGACUCCUACGGGAGGCAGCAGUGGGGAAUAUUGCACAAUGGGCGAAAGCCUGAUGCAGCGACGCCGCGUGAGGGAUGACGGCCUUCGGGUUGUAAACCUCUUUCAGCAGGGAAGAAGCGAAAGUGACGGUACCUGCAGAAGAAGCACCGGCUAACUACGUG
This 463-nucleotide ribosomal RNA is filed under the name uncultured bacterium. RNAcentral's name for it is "bacterial SSU rRNA". It matches the Rfam family "Bacterial small subunit ribosomal RNA", at positions 28 to 507 of the family's 1533-position model. The record is from RNAcentral.